Molecule: non-coding RNA, 125 nt
Organism: Hordeum vulgare subsp. vulgare (domesticated barley)
Lineage: Eukaryota; Viridiplantae; Streptophyta; Magnoliopsida; Poales; Poaceae
Source: Rfam
AUUAUACUCCCUUCACCCGAAAAUAUUUGUCAUAAAAAUGAAUGCAUCUAGAUGUAUUUUAAUUUUAGAUACAUUCAUUUUUAUAUAUUUAUGCGAUAAAUAAUUCCAAGCGGAGGAAGUAUUAU